CUACGGGAGGCAGCAGUGGGAAUAUGCACAAUGGGCGCAAGUUGAUCCAGCAAUGCCGCGUAGUGAAGAAGGCGUUCGGGUGUAAAGCACUGAAGUCAGGAGGGAAGUAAGCGGCUAACCCUCGCACAAGACGUACUACAGAAAAGCACAGCUACACG
This 158-nucleotide ribosomal RNA is filed under the name uncultured Bacteroidota bacterium. RNAcentral's name for it is "uncultured Bacteroidetes bacterium partial 16S ribosomal RNA". The record is from RNAcentral. Lineage: Bacteria; Pseudomonadati; Bacteroidota. RNAcentral also lists the same sequence under 1 other name.